AAGGCUUUAAGUUAUAUAAACUAUCAACCUUCAAAGUUUAAAAAAUCAUUAGAGGUAAGUCUUA
RNAcentral lists this transfer RNA (64 nucleotides) under Seasogonia rosea. Its description in RNAcentral is "tRNA-Trp". The record is from RNAcentral. Lineage: Eukaryota; Metazoa; Arthropoda; Insecta; Hemiptera; Cicadellidae.